UGCCCUAGUAACGGCGAGUGAAGCGGCAACAGCUCAAAUUUGAAAUCUGGCGCAAGCCCGAGUUGUAAUUUGUAGAGGAUGUUUCUGGCGACGUGCCUUCCGAGUUCCCUGGAACGGGACGCCAUAGAGGGUGAGAGCCCCGUACGGUUGGAUGCCUAGCCUCUGUGAAACUCCUUCGACGAGUCGAGUAGUUUGGGAAUGCUGCUCUAAAUGGGAGGUAUACGUCUUCUAAAGCUAAAUACCGGCCAGAGACCGAUAGCGCACAAGUAGAGUGAUCGAAAGAUGAAAAGCACUUUGAAAAGAGGGUUAAAAAGUACGUGAAAUUGUUGAAAGGGAAGCGUUCAUGACCAGACUUGGGCAGGUUGAUCAUCCGUGGUUCUCCGCGGUGCACUCUGCCUGCCCAGGCCAGCAUCAGUUCGCCCCGGGGGAUAAAGACUUUGGGAAUGUGGCUCCCUCGGGAGUGUUAUAGCCCACUGUGUAAUACCCUGGGGUGGACUGAGGUUCGCGCUCUGCAAGGAUGCUGGCGUAAUGGUCAUCAACGACCCGUCUUGAAACACGGACCAAGGAGUCGUCUUCGUAUGCGAGUGUUCGGGUGUCAAACCCCUACGCGUAAUGAAAGUGAACGUAGGAGAGAGCUUCGGCGCAUCUCCGACCGAUCCUGAUGUUCUCGGAUGGAUUUGAGUAAGAGCAUACGGAGCCGGACCCGAAAGAAGGUGAACUAUGCCUGUAUAGGGUGAAGCCAGAGGAAACUCUGGUGGAGGCUCGCAGCGGUUCUGACGUGCAAAUCGAUCGU
Molecule: ribosomal RNA, 793 nt
Filed under: Clonostachys rosea
Lineage: Eukaryota; Fungi; Ascomycota; Sordariomycetes; Hypocreales; Bionectriaceae
Description: partial large subunit ribosomal RNA
Rfam family: Eukaryotic large subunit ribosomal RNA
Source: RNAcentral